GACAGCAUGGCCGAGUGGUCUAAGGCGCCAGCUUAAGGCGCUGGUCCGAAAGGGCGUGGGUUCGAACCCCACUGCUGUUACGA
RNAcentral lists this transfer RNA (83 nucleotides) under Maritimibacter sp. RNAcentral describes it as "tRNA-Leu". It matches the Rfam family "tRNA". Rfam says of the family: Transfer RNA (tRNA) molecules are approximately 80 nucleotides in length. Their secondary structure includes four short double-helical elements and three loops (D, anti-codon, and T loops). The record is from RNAcentral. Lineage: Bacteria; Pseudomonadati; Pseudomonadota; Alphaproteobacteria; Rhodobacterales; Roseobacteraceae.